GAUGAACGCUGGCGGCGUGCCUAAUACAUGCAAGUCGAGCGAAUGGAUUAAGAGCUUGCUCUUAUGAAGUUAGCGGCGGACGGGUGAGUAACACGUGGGUAACCUGCCCAUAAGACUGGGAUAACUCCGGGAAACCGGGGCUAAUACCGGAUAACAUUUUGAACCGCAUGGUUCGAAAUUGAAAGGCGGCUUCGGCUGUCACUUAUGGAUGGACCCGCGUCGCAUUAGCUAGUUGGUGAGGUAACGGCUCACCAAGGCAACGAUGCGUAGCCGCCCUGAGAGGGUGAUCGGCCACACUGGGACUGAGACACAGCCCAGACUCCUACGGGAGGCAGCAGUAGGGAAUCUUCCGCAAUGGACGAAAGUCUGACGGAGCAACGCCGCGUGAGUGAGGAAGGCUUUCGGGUCGUAAAACUCUGUUGUUAGGGAAGAACAAGUGCUAGUUGAAUAAGCUGGCACCUUGACGGUACCUAACCAGAAAGCCACGGCUAACUACGUGCCAGCCGCCGCAGUAA
This 515-nucleotide ribosomal RNA is filed under the name uncultured bacterium. Its description in RNAcentral is "partial 16S ribosomal RNA". It matches the Rfam family "Bacterial small subunit ribosomal RNA", at positions 28 to 523 of the family's 1533-position model. The record is from RNAcentral.